AUACGGAGGACGCGAGCGUUAUCCGGAUUCAUUGGGUUUAAAGGGUGCGCAGGCGGCCGUGCAAGUCAGCGGUGAAAGCCCGGGGCCCAACCCCGGAAGUGCCGUUGAUACUGCAUGGCUUGAAUGCGGUCGAGGCGCGCGGCACGUGGCGUGUAGCGGUGAAAUGCGUAGAUAUGCCACAGAACGCCGAUAGCGGAGGCAGCUCGCCAGGCCUGCAUUGACGCUCGGGCACGAAAGCGUGGGGAUCGAACAGGAUUAGAUACCCUGGUAGUCCACGCCGUAAACGAUGGGCGCUCGUCGUCGGCGGCAGACAGUCGGCGGCCAAGCGAAAGCGAUAAGCGCCCCACCUGGGGAGUACGGUCGCAAGGCUGAAACUCAAAUGAAUUGACGGGG
Molecule: ribosomal RNA, 393 nt
Filed under: uncultured bacterium
Lineage: Bacteria
Description: partial 16S ribosomal RNA
Rfam family: Bacterial small subunit ribosomal RNA
Source: RNAcentral